This 682-nucleotide ribosomal RNA is filed under the name uncultured Bacteroidales bacterium. Its description in RNAcentral is "bacterial SSU rRNA". It matches the Rfam family "Bacterial small subunit ribosomal RNA", at positions 67 to 738 of the family's 1533-position model. The record is from RNAcentral. Lineage: Bacteria; Pseudomonadati; Bacteroidota; Bacteroidia; Bacteroidales.
GGGCAGCAUGGUCUUAGCUUGCUAAGGCCGAUGGCGACCGGCGCACGGGUGAGUAACACGUAUCCAACCUGCCGUCUACUCUUGGACAGCCUUCUGAAAGGAAGAUUAAUACAAGAUGGCAUCAUGAGUCCGCAUGUUCACAUGAUUAAAGGUAUUCCGGUAGACGAUGGGGAUGCGUUCCAUUAGAUAGUAGGCGGGGUAACGGCCCACCUAGUCUUCGAUGGAUAGGGGUUCUGAGAGGAAGGUCCCCCACAUUGGAACUGAGACACGGUCCAAACUCCUACGGGAGGCAGCAGUGAGGAAUAUUGGUCAAUGGGCGAGAGCCUGAACCAGCCAAGUAGCGUGAAGGAUGACUGCCCUAUGGGUUGUAAACUUCUUUUAUAAAGGAAUAAAGUCGGGUAUGGAUACCCGUUUGCAUGUACUUUAUGAAUAAGGAUCGGCUAACUCCGUGCCAGCAGCCGCGGUAAUACGGAGGAUCCGAGCGUUAUCCGGAUUUAUUGGGUUUAAAGGGAGCGUAGAUGGAUGUUUAAGUCAGUUGUGAAAGUUUGCGGCUCAACCGUAAAAUUGCAGUUGAUACUGGAUAUCUUGAGUGCAGUUGAGGCAGGCGGAAUUCGUGGUGUAGCGGUGAAAUGCUUAGAUAUCACGAAGAACUCCGAUUGCGAAGGCAGCCUGCUAAGCUGCA